Molecule: long non-coding RNA, 404 nt
Filed under: Setaria viridis
Lineage: Eukaryota; Viridiplantae; Streptophyta; Magnoliopsida; Poales; Poaceae
Description: long non-coding RNA (SVIR_LNC008029)
Source: RNAcentral
GUGGAGAUGGAGACCUUGAUCGUGGAGCAGGUUGUGGUGGAGAUGAUGGUCUGGAUGUUUGAGGAGAUGGUCGCUGUUGUGGAUUUGCGGAGAGUGGUCUUGAGCUCUGAGGAGGUGCCUUCACAUUGGGGGUGAUGAUCUUGUGUUUGCGCCAUAGAAUGACCCCGUGAACCACUUCUCCUAGUGUUGUUAACCCGUUGCAUGCUGGGAAGUCAAGCUCUAGGCCUUCAAAUUGGCUAUCAGGGAUUCUCUCUACGCCAACACUGGCAUAGCCAGGUGGAAGCUCCAUGCCAUGGCAUGUAUGAUUUGGCAGGAUUGGCAAUGCACUCCCGUACGCCACCUAGAUAUAUAAAAGAAAUGAAGUUCUUAAACUUCAAAUUGCGAAAGCACUCCCGAGGCUCCGG